AGUGAACGCUGGCGGUAGGCCUAACACAUGCAAGUCGAACGGCAGCACAGUAAGAGCUUGCUCUUACGGGUGGCGAGUGGCGGACGGGUGAGGAAUACAUCGGAAUCUACUUUUUCGUGGGGGAUAACGUAGGGAAACUUACGCUAAUACCGCAUACGACCUACGGGUGAAAGCAGGGGAUCUUCGGACCUUGCGCGAUUGAAUGAGCCGAUGUCGGAUUAGCUAGUUGGCGGGGUAAAGACCCACCAAGGCGACGAUCCGUAGCUGGUCUGAGAGGAUGAUAAGCCACACUGGAACUGAGACACGGUCCAGACUCCUACGGGAGGCAGCAGUGGGGAAUAUUGGACAAUGGGCGCAAGCCUGAUCCAGCCAUACCGCGUGGGUGAAGAAGGCCUUCGGGUUGUAAAGCCCUUUUGUUGGGAAAGAAAAGCAGCAGGUUAAUACCCCGCUGUUCUGACGGUACCCAAAGAAUAAGCACCGGCUAACUUCGUG
Molecule: ribosomal RNA, 492 nt
Filed under: uncultured bacterium
Lineage: Bacteria
Description: partial 16S ribosomal RNA
Rfam family: Bacterial small subunit ribosomal RNA
Source: RNAcentral